AUAGUGUCGCGAUGGUAAUUCAACCUAGUACGAGAGGAACCGUUGAUUCGCACAAUUGGUAAUCGCGCUUGGUUGAAAAGCCAGUGGCGCGAAGCUACCGUGCGCUGGAUUAUGACUGAACGCCUCUAAGUUAGAAUCCGGGUUAGAAGCGAUGCAUGCACCCCGCUUGAUGCCGUCCUACAGUAGGGGCUUCGGCCCCCAAGGGCACGUGUCGUAGGCUAAGCUAGCGCGGCGGAUGCGCCGUGACGGUCGCCUUGAAGUACAAUUCCUACCGAGCGGCAGGUUAAAUCCUUUGCAGACGACUUAAAUACGCGACGGGGUAUUGUAAGUGGCAGAGUGGCCUUGCUGCCACGAUCCACUGAGAUUCAGCCUUAUGUCGCUCCGAUUC
RNAcentral lists this ribosomal RNA (388 nucleotides) under Beta vulgaris subsp. vulgaris (sugar beet). Its description in RNAcentral is "rRNA LSU_rRNA_eukarya". It matches the Rfam family "Eukaryotic large subunit ribosomal RNA", at positions 3005 to 3399 of the family's 3401-position model. The record is from RNAcentral. Lineage: Eukaryota; Viridiplantae; Streptophyta; Magnoliopsida; Caryophyllales; Amaranthaceae.